This 425-nucleotide long non-coding RNA is filed under the name Mytilus galloprovincialis (Mediterranean mussel). Lineage: Eukaryota; Metazoa; Mollusca; Bivalvia; Mytilida; Mytilidae. The record is from RNAcentral.
UGGGGUGCUGGGAUAGGCUUUGACAACGAUUUAUUGAAAUAUUUGAGCUAUUAUCACGCUGUCAGCCUGAGAAUUGUUUAGUUGACAUCUUGUUGACUUUAUGAUCUCCUCGUACCACAAUAAAGUGGUUAUUUGGUGCAUUUUGAACACUGCUGCAAUUUCCUGUAUUUGCUUAUUCACUGGAGGAAAUAUCUAUCAUCAGCAAUGCUAAAAAAUUGGGGUUUUACCCACAUCGUCUCAAAUUGCAAUCUGACACUUUAAGGGCAGUCCCACCAGUGAUCUGUUAUGGCUUUAUAUUUUAUACAGUUUUAUAAACAAACUUGAAUUACAUAAAUGCAACUAGCGAUGGAUAUGAUUUAACUGAACUGUGUAACAUCAGAUAAGUCAUUGGAAGAAGAUAAAACAUGUAACGUGUGCCUAUACAC